Molecule: ribosomal RNA, 280 nt
Filed under: uncultured bacterium
Lineage: Bacteria
Description: partial 16S ribosomal RNA
Rfam family: Bacterial small subunit ribosomal RNA
Source: RNAcentral
AGCAGCCGCGGUAAUACGGAGGGAGCUAGCGUUGUUCGGAAUUACUGGGCGUAAAGCGCACGUAGGCGGCUUUGUAAGUUAGAGGUGAAAGCCUGGAGCUCAACUCCAGAAUUGCCUUUAAGACUGCAUCGCUUGAAUCCAGGAGAGGUGAGUGGAAUUCCGAGUGUAGAGGUGAAAUUCGUAGAUAUUCGGAAGAACACCAGUGGCGAAGGCGGCUCACUGGACUGGUAUUGACGCUGAGGUGCGAAAGCGUGGGGAGCAAACAGGAUUAGAUACCCUG